CGCGCAGGCGGCCAGGUCAGUCGAAUGUGAAAGCCCCCGGCUCAACUGGGGAGGGUCAUUCGAUACUGCCUGGCUUGAAGAUAGGAGAGGGAAGUGGAAUUUCAGGUGUAGUGGUGAAGUGCGUAGAUAUCUGAAGGAACACCAGUGGCGAAGGCGACUUUCUGGCCUAUUCUUGACGCUGAGGCGCGAAAGCUAGGGGAGCGAACG
RNAcentral lists this ribosomal RNA (207 nucleotides) under uncultured bacterium. RNAcentral's name for it is "partial 16S ribosomal RNA". It matches the Rfam family "Bacterial small subunit ribosomal RNA", at positions 568 to 774 of the family's 1533-position model. The record is from RNAcentral.